RNAcentral lists this ribosomal RNA (1183 nucleotides) under Klebsiella michiganensis. Its description in RNAcentral is "bacterial LSU rRNA". It matches the Rfam family "Bacterial large subunit ribosomal RNA", at positions 1762 to 2925 of the family's 2925-position model. Lineage: Bacteria; Pseudomonadati; Pseudomonadota; Gammaproteobacteria; Enterobacterales; Enterobacteriaceae. The record is from RNAcentral.
UGGAGCUGAAAUCAGUCGAAGAUACCAGCUGGCUGCAACUGUUUAUUAAAAACACAGCACUGUGCAAACACGAAAGUGGACGUAUACGGUGUGACGCCUGCCCGGUGCCGGAAGGUUAAUUGAUGGGGUUAUCCUCGCGGAGAAGCUCUUGAUCGAAGCCCCGGUAAACGGCGGCCGUAACUAUAACGGUCCUAAGGUAGCGAAAUUCCUUGUCGGGUAAGUUCCGACCUGCACGAAUGGCGUAAUGAUGGCCAGGCUGUCUCCACCCGAGACUCAGUGAAAUUGAACUCGCUGUGAAGAUGCAGUGUACCCGCGGCAAGACGGAAAGACCCCGUGAACCUUUACUAUAGCUUGACACUGAACACUGGUCCUUGAUGUGUAGGAUAGGUGGGAGGCUUUGAAGUGUGGACGCCAGUCUGCAUGGAGCCAUCCUUGAAAUACCACCCUUUAAUGGCUGGUGUUCUAACGUGGGCCCCUGAUCGGGGUUGCGGACAGUGUCUGGUGGGUAGUUUGACUGGGGCGGUCUCCUCCUAAAGAGUAACGGAGGAGCACGAAGGUCAGCUAAUCCUGGUCGGACAUCAGGAGGUUAGUGCAAUGGCAUAAGCUGGCUUGACUGCGAGCGUGACGGCGCGAGCAGGUGCGAAAGCAGGUCAUAGUGAUCCGGUGGUUCUGAAUGGAAGGGCCAUCGCUCAACGGAUAAAAGGUACUCCGGGGAUAACAGGCUGAUACCGCCCAAGAGUUCAUAUCGACGGCGGUGUUUGGCACCUCGAUGUCGGCUCAUCACAUCCUGGGGCUGAAGUAGGUCCCAAGGGUAUGGCUGUUCGCCAUUUAAAGUGGUACGCGAGCUGGGUUUAGAACGUCGUGAGACAGUUCGGUCCCUAUCUGCCGUGGGCGCUGGAGAAUUGAGGGGGGCUGCUCCUAGUACGAGAGGACCGGAGUGGACGCAUCACUGGUGUUCGGGUUGUCAUGCCAAUGGCAUUGCCCGGUAGCUAAAUGCGGAAGAGAUAAGUGCUGAAAGCAUCUAAGCACGAAACUUGCCCCGAGAUGAGUUCUCCCUGACCCUUUAAGGGUCCUGAAGGAACGUUGAAGACGACGACGUUGAUAGGCCGGGUGUGUAAGCGCAGCGAUGCGUUGAGCUAACCGGUACUAAUGAACCGUGAGGCUUAACCUUACAACGCCGAAG